UACGGGGGAAGCAAACGUUGCUCGGAAUCACUGGGCGUAAAGCGCACGUAGGCGGCUUUCUAAGUCAGGGGUGAAAUCCUGGAGCUCAACUCCAGAACUGCCUUUGAUACUGGGAAGCUCGAGUCCGGAAGAGGUGAGUGGAACUCCGAGUGUAGAGGUGAAAUUCGUAGAUAUUCGGAAGAACACCAGUGGCGAAGGCGGCUCACUGGUCCGGUACUGACGCUGAGGUGCGAAAGCGUGGGGAGCAAACAGG
Molecule: ribosomal RNA, 253 nt
Filed under: uncultured bacterium
Lineage: Bacteria
Description: partial 16S ribosomal RNA
Rfam family: Bacterial small subunit ribosomal RNA
Source: RNAcentral